This 2934-nucleotide ribosomal RNA is filed under the name Ligilactobacillus agilis. RNAcentral describes it as "23S ribosomal RNA". It matches the Rfam family "Bacterial large subunit ribosomal RNA". Lineage: Bacteria; Bacillati; Bacillota; Bacilli; Lactobacillales; Lactobacillaceae. The record is from RNAcentral.
AGGUUAAGUUAUUAAGGGCGCAUGGUGGAUGCCUUGGCACUAGGAGCCGAUGAAGGACGUGACUAACUGCGAUAUGCUUCGGGGAGUUGUAAGUAAACUGUGAACCGGAGAUUUCCGAAUGGGGCAACCCAGCAGGCCUAACGGCCUGUUAUCGCUAAGUGAAUUCAUAGCUUAGUUGAAGGUAGACGUGGGGAACUGAAACAUCUAAGUACCCAUAGGAAGAGAAAGAAAUUCGAUUCCCCCAGUAGCGGCGAGCGAAGAGGGAAGAGCCCAAACCGAGAAGCUUGCUUCUCGGGGUUGUAGGACUGGACUUUAGAGUUACCAAGAGAUUUGAUAGUUGAAUGAUUUGGGAAAAUCAGCCAGAGAAGGUGAGAGCCCUGUAAACGAAAUUAAGUCUCCUCUGUCCAGGAUCCUGAGUACGGCGGAACACGUGAAACUCCGUCGGAAUCCGGGAGGACCAUCUCCCAAGGCUAAAUACUACCUAGUGACCGAUAGUGAACCAGUACCGUGAGGGAAAGGUGAAAAGCACCCCGGGAGGGGAGUGAAAGAGUUCCUGAAACCAUGUGCCUACAAGUAGUUAGAGCCCGUUAAUGGGUGAUAGCGUGCCUUUUGUAGAAUGAACCGGCGAGUUACGUUAGCAUGCGAGGUUAAGGGGGAAAGCCCGGAGCCGAAGCGAAAGCGAGUCUGAAUAGGGCGCUUUAGUAUGUUGACGUAAACCCGAAACCAGGUGACCUACCCAUGUCCAGGUUGAAGGUGCGGUAAAACGCACUGGAGGACCGAACCCGUGUAUGUUGAAAAAUGCUGGGAUGAGGUGUGGGUAGAGGUGAAAUUCCAAACGAACUUGGAGAUAGCUGGUUCUCUCCGAAAUAGCUUUAGGGCUAGCCUCGGAGUAAAGGAUAGUGGAGGUAGAGCACUGUUUGGACUAGGGGCCCGUCUUGGGUUACUGAAUUCAGAUAAACUCCGAAUGCCACAUAUCUAUAUCCGGGAGUCAGACUGCGAGUGAUAAGAUCCGUAGUCGAAAGGGAAACAGCCCAGACCACCAAUUAAGGUCCCUAAAUAUGUGUUAAGUGGAAAAGGAUGUGGAAUUGCACAGACAACUAGGAUGUUGGCUUAGAAGCAGCCACCAUUUAAAGAGUGCGUAAUAGCUCACUAGUCGAGUGAUCCUGCGCCGAAAAUGUAACGGGGCUAAACACAUUACCGAAAUUGUGGAUGUGUCCGUAAGGACACGUGGUAGGAGAGCGUUCUAAGGGCGGUGAAGUCAGACCGUAAGGACUGGUGGAGCGCUUAGAAGUGAGAAUGCCGGUAUGAGUAGCGAAAGGUAGGUGAGAAUCCUACCCACCGUAUGACUAAGGUUUCCUGGGGAAGGCUCGUCCUCCCAGGGUUAGUCGGGACCUAAGCCGAGGCCGAGAGGCGUAGGCGAUGGAUAACAGGUUGAGAUUCCUGUACUAGUUAAACUUGUUUAAACAAUGGAGGGACGCAGGAGGCUAAAGAUGCGAACAAUGGAGGGACGCAGGAGGCUAGAGAUGCGCACUGUUGGAUAUGUGCGUCCAAGCAAUAAGUCUGUUGGUGAGUCAAAUGCUUACCGACUGAGGACAAGUUGUGAUGGGGAGCGAAAUUAAAGUAGCGAAGUGAUUGAUGUCACACUGCCGAGAAAAGCUUCUAGUUAGAGUUUAAUUACCCGUACCGCAAACCGACACAGGUAGUCGAGGAGAGUAUCCUAAGGUGAGCGAGAGAACUCUCGUUAAGGAACUCGGCAAAAUGACCCCGUAACUUCGGGAGAAGGGGUGCUGAGCGCAAGCUCAGCCGCAGUGAAUAGGCCCAGGCGACUGUUUAUCAAAAACACAGGUUUCUGCAAAAUCGUAAGAUGAAGUAUAGGGGCUGACGCCUGCCCGGUGCUGGAAGGUUAAGAGGAGUGCUUAGCGCAAGCGAAGGUGCGAAUUGAAGCCCCAGUAAACGGCGGCCGUAACUAUAACGGUCCUAAGGUAGCGAAAUUCCUUGUCGGGUAAGUUCCGACCCGCACGAAAGGCGUAACGAUCUGGGCACUGUCUCAACGAGAGACUCGGUGAAAUUAUAAUACCCGUGAAGAUGCGGGUUACCCGCGACAGGACGGAAAGACCCCAUGGAGCUUUACUGUAGCUUGAUAUUGGGUGUUUGUACAACUUGUACAGGAUAGGUAGGAGCCGUAGAAGUCGGAACGCUAGUUUCGACAGAGGCGCUGGUGGGAUACUACCCUCGUUGUAUGAACACUCUAACCCACGCCGGCAAUCACGGCGGGAGACAGUGUCAGGUGGGCAGUUUGACUGGGGCGGUCGCCUCCUAAAAGGUAACGGAGGCGCCCAAAGGUUCCCUCAGAAUGGUUGGAAAUCAUUCGCAGAGUGUAAAGGCAUAAGGGAGCUUGACUGCGAGACCUACAAGUCGAGCAGGGACGAAAGUCGGGCUUAGUGAUCCGGUGGUUCCGCAUGGAAGGGCCAUCGCUCAACGGAUAAAAGCUACCCUGGGGAUAACAGGCUUAUCUCCCCCAAGAGUCCACAUCGACGGGGAGGUUUGGCACCUCGAUGUCGGCUCAUCGCAUCCUGGGGCUGUAGUCGGUCCCAAGGGUUGGGCUGUUCGCCCAUUAAAGCGGUACGCGAGCUGGGUUCAGAACGUCGUGAGACAGUUCGGUCCCUAUCCGUCGCGGGCGUAGGAAAUUUGAGAGGAUCUGUCCUUAGUACGAGAGGACCGGGAUGGACAUACCGCUGGUGUACCAGUUGUUCUGCCAAGGGCAUCGCUGGGUAGCUAUGUAUGGAUGAGAUAAACGCUGAAAGCAUCUAAGCGCGAAACUCGCCUCGAGAUAAGAUUUCCCAUUCCGUAAGGAAGUAAGACCCCUGAGAGAUGAUCAGGUAGAUAGGAUGGAAGUGGAAGUGCGGUGACGUAUGAAGCGGACCAUUACUAAUC